UACGGGGGGUGCAAGCGUUGUUCGGAAUUAUUGGGCGUAAAGCGCGUGUAGGCGGCUGAGCAAGUCAGAUGUGAAAGCCCCGGGCUUAACCCGGGAAGGGCAUUUGAUACUGUAAGACUUGAGAAAUGUAGAGGGAAGCGGAACUACCGGUGUAGCGGUGAAAUGCGUAGAUAUCGGUAGGAACACCAGUGGCGAAGGCGGCUUCCUGGCCUGAUACUGACGCUGAGGCGCGAAAGCGUGGGGAGCAAACAGG
RNAcentral lists this ribosomal RNA (253 nucleotides) under uncultured bacterium. RNAcentral describes it as "partial 16S ribosomal RNA". It matches the Rfam family "Bacterial small subunit ribosomal RNA", at positions 524 to 776 of the family's 1533-position model. The record is from RNAcentral.